GAUUAUGAGCCACUUCAUUACUGUGCAUUUACAUCUUUGCAGCUGCAGUAUAUGGCACAGGGCCUUGUCAAAAGUACCAGGUAUUUGCUCCUAGUAACAGAAAAGCUGACCAAUACAGAAAGUCCAUACCAGGAAUGAGGAUGUUGUUGUGACUACUCCUGACUAUGGGGUUCAGAAGUUUUUGGAACUGAUUUGGGGGAGAAAUUUAGAAAACUCUGGAAAAGAAGACUAGAGAAGCUGUAGACUUCUGUAAGACAGUUUAAUGGACAAUUCUGGUAGGAGCUCAGAAAGCCAGAAUGCUGAUAGGAAUGUGGACAAUAAAGGCCUGCCUCAUGAGGUUUCACACUGAAAUCAGGACUCUACUUGGAACUGUAUUAGCGACAAUCUCUAGGAAGGAGGUCCUCAAGUUACCAGUCCCUGAAAAGCCGCAUGGAACUUUUGAGGAAUCCGCUACUUGGCUUUGUUCUGGUAUCUAUA
Fukomys damarensis (Damara mole-rat) is the source of this 477-nucleotide long non-coding RNA. RefSeq lists it as uncharacterized. The record is from RefSeq and is a predicted model, not a curated record. Lineage: Eukaryota; Metazoa; Chordata; Mammalia; Rodentia; Bathyergidae. The transcript is spliced from 3 exons.